UACCACUUUGAUGAGAUAGGUUCCAUCGUUUUCCCAUAUUUUUGCUGUGACAAAAAGAGUAGCACUUGGUGUUGCAUUUGGAUUAGUUAUAUUACGGCUAGUGCCUUUUGGUAACUCCUUCUGCGUGCGUUUGAUCCUUCGUCGAGUCACGAGUGUUAGGCUUGUGUAUGAUUGCUACUUCUUCAAGACGGAACAUCUCAGAGACAGGUUUAUGAGAUCGUCAAUAGGAGCAUCAUUGGGGAUCUAUUUGCACUCAGCGUAUUGAUGAGUCCUCCCCUACAUUCGGAGGACACCGUUUGUGUAUUCUUACAUCGAGUUAGCCCUUUUAAUUUUUAUUUGAGGUAGCCAUGAACAUGUCAUCGGCACCAAUUAGAUAGUAGUGAUAGAGGCUUCAUAGACUAGAUAGUGAUGAGUCGAUUGAGUAUUUCUAUCCUUGAGUUAUUCUUGUCAAACUAUUUUUAAAUGACAAAUAUUUUAG
This is a long non-coding RNA of Solanum dulcamara, 478 nucleotides long. RefSeq lists it as uncharacterized. Lineage: Eukaryota; Viridiplantae; Streptophyta; Magnoliopsida; Solanales; Solanaceae. The record is from RefSeq and is a predicted model, not a curated record. The transcript is spliced from 2 exons.